GGUUAAGCGACUAAGCGUACACGGUGGAUGCCCUGGCAGUCAGAGGCGAUGAAGGGCGUGCUAAUCUGCGAUAAGCGCCGGUAAGGUGAUAUGAACCGUUAUAACCGGCGAUACCCGAAUGGGGAAACCCAGUGUGAUUCGUCACACUAUCAUUAACUGAAUCCAUAGGUUAAUGAGGCGAACCGGGGGAACUGAAACAUCUAAGUACCCCGAGGAAAAGAAAUCAACCGAGAUUCCCCCAGUAGCGGCGAGCGAACGGGGAGGAGCCCAGAGCCUGAAUCAGCAUGUGUGUUAGUGGAAGCGUCUGGAAAGGCGCGCGAUACAGGGUGACAGCCCCGUACACAAAAGCGCAUGUGCUGUGAGCUCGAUGAGUAGGGCGGGACACGUGGUAUCCUGUCUGAAUAUGGGGGGACCAUCCUCCAAGGCUAAAUACUCCUGACUGACCGAUAGUGAACCAGUACCGUGAGGGAAAGGCGAAAAGAACCCCGGCGAGGGGAGUGAAAAAGAACCUGAAACCGUGUACGUACAAGCAGUGGGAGCCUCUUUUAUGGGGUGACUGCGUACCUUUUGUAUAAUGGGUCAGCGACUUAUAUUCUGUAGCAAGGUUAACCGUAUAGGGGAGCCG
Molecule: ribosomal RNA, 625 nt
Filed under: Salmonella enterica
Lineage: Bacteria; Pseudomonadati; Pseudomonadota; Gammaproteobacteria; Enterobacterales; Enterobacteriaceae
Also listed under: 1 other name
Description: partial 23S ribosomal RNA
Rfam family: Bacterial large subunit ribosomal RNA
Source: RNAcentral